UAAUAAGUGUUUUAUGGCACUUUUUAAAUCCAUAUCCACCUCGUGUGCAAUGUCAGUCGAUCUUCUUCAUGGAGAUCGACCAAACAUCAACCUUUAUCUUUUAACUCUUUGUCUGAAAAAUAUUAUGAAUAAACAAUUCAAAAUA
This 145-nucleotide unclassified non-coding RNA is filed under the name soil metagenome. RNAcentral describes it as "partial internal transcribed spacer 1". The record is from RNAcentral.